Molecule: long non-coding RNA, 2306 nt
Filed under: Homo sapiens (human)
Lineage: Eukaryota; Metazoa; Chordata; Mammalia; Primates; Hominidae
Description: HSALNT0089156
Source: RNAcentral
GAUGGAGCAAGACCCUGUCUCAAAAAAAAAAAACCACCAAAAACUGAUGGCCGGGUGCAGUGGCACGCCUGUAAUCUCAGGACUUUGGGAGGCUGAGGUGGGUGGAUCACUUGAGGUCGGGAAUUUGAGACCAGCCUGACCAACAUGGAGAAACCCUGUCUCUACUAAAAAUACAAAAUUGGCUGGGCCUAGUGGCGCAUGCCUGUAAUCCCAGCUACUUGGGAGGCUGAGGUAGGAGAAUCGCUUGAACCUGGGAGGCGGGGGUUGUGGUAAGCCGAGACUGUGUCAUUGCACUCCAGCCUGGGCGACAAGAGCGAAACUCUGUCUCAAAAAAAAAAAAAAACACAUUACAGUGUUUGCCAACAUCCUAAAACAAAAAAUAAUGAUUUUUGGGAAAAACAAAAAAUUAUUUAACUAUUUUGAUUGACUAUAGGGAUCUUAGCUUGGCUAAAUCAACAAUAUAGCAAUGUAUCUUAAUGCUCUAAAAAGUAACAAUACCUAGGACUGACUGAAUGUUAAUUUCUGGAAUUCAUUUAUCUUGUUUUAUUUGCCUUGUUCAGUAUUUUUCAUUUACCAUAUGAAGUUUAGAAAUAACAAUUUCCUUAAGUUAACUUCAAUAAGACAGUUUUGAUGGUGGGACCUUGGCAGAAGUAUAUUGAGUCAGUGCCGGCUGCGUUCAUGGCUUCUUGUCAGGGUAGUAACAUUUUGCAACCAAAUCUGCACAGAUUUGUAGCCAAGUCUACAAAGUGCUUAACAGCUCUUUUCAUUGCAUCCUGUGAGAUGGUUGUGAUGAUCCAGGAAAUGGGGUCUCAGGAAUCUGAAGAAGCUGCCUGAGCCAAGGUGAUUUCUAGGAGUUUUUUUGUUUGUGGUAUGUGAAUUGGGGUGUGUGGGGGUGGGGUGUGUGUGUAGACAGGGUCCCACUGUGUUGCUCAGGCUGGUGCCAAACUCCUGGCCUCAAGGGAUCCUCCUGCCUCAGCCUCUCAAAGUGCUGGGAUUACAGGCAUAAACCACAACUCAAUAAAAAAGUUUUUAAAAAUUUACAAAGCUCAUAUUUGAUCCAGCUAGGAUUUUACCCUGUACAUUUGUAUUUCUUGUAGGCUGGCGCACAGAUAUCUUAAAUGGCUACUAAUUGCUGCUGUGUAUGAAAACAAAUGGCUAUCAAGGCCGGGUGCAGUGGCUUACAGAUCUGGUCUGAAUCUCAAGUCCAGACCAGUCCAGAGUUCAAGACCAGCCUGGGCAACAUGGUGAAACCCCAUCUAUACAAAAACUCGGCAAGGCAUGGUGGCAUGCACCUGUUGUCCCAGCUACUCAGGGGCUGAGGCAGGAGGAUGGCAUGAGCCCAGGAGCUUGAGGCUGCAGUGAGCUGUGAUUGUGCCACUGCACUCCAGCCUGAGUGACAGAGUGAGACCCCCAUCUCCAAAAGAAAAGGCUAUCAAUACAAAAGUUUAUCUAAAUUACUGUACAGCUAUACAAUGGAAUACUCUACAAAAUGGAGAGAUCCAUAAGAUAAAGCAAAUGAAUAAAGCAAAAUGCAUGUGUUGACAGCUGUUGUGAUACCUCAGUUCUUGUCUUCUUGGUUUAAAAGAAUUUAAAUGAGACAGCAAAGGAGAUGCAGCAUAAUUUAUUGCAAAAGAAAAGGAGUAUUUUGAAAGUUAGGUGCAGAACAGACAGUACACCUGAGAGAGAGAAUUCAGGGCCGGCUGCUCGUAAGGGUGAGACAGCAUUGAUUAUUGCUGGAGAAACUCCCUUUAUGGGAGUUUUGCAUUAUUAUUCAUAAGGAGGUGAGGUGUUGCAGUAAUCAUGUCCUGGGUGGUCCUCUGCACAGGUGCAGUAGCUGUUAAUGCUUGUUCAUACACCACAUGUCUCAGUAGCAUCUUAAAUUUCCACCUAGAGGUGUGUUUUUUAUUAUUAUCAUGUGCAAAGGAUCAGUUUGAGGACAGGUAAAAUCAAAAUGUGUAUGCUCUCUAGAAGGGAAAGUCCCUACUGAAGAUAGCUUUGCUUAAAUGAGCUCAAUUACAAUGUGAAUGCUGAGGUUUAUUGUGUUGGCUGUAUGGUCAUGAGAAAAUGGUCAUUUCCUUGACUACCUGAUACGGUUUGGCUGUGUCCCCACCCAAGUCUUAUUUUGAAUUGUAAUCCCCAUAAUUCCCACAUGUUGAAGGAGGGACUUGGUGGUAGGUGACUGGAUCAUGGGGGUGGUAUCCCCCAUGCUGUUCUCAUGAUUGUGAGUUCUCACGAGAUCCAAUGGUUUUAUACAUGGUAGUCUCUCCUGCUGCCAUGUAAAACAUGCCUGCUUCCCCUUCUGCCAG